Long non-coding RNA from Corticium candelabrum, 765 nucleotides. RefSeq lists it as uncharacterized. The record is from RefSeq and is a predicted model, not a curated record. NCBI's taxonomy places the organism in Eukaryota, Metazoa, Porifera, Homoscleromorpha, Homosclerophorida, Plakinidae. The transcript is spliced from 2 exons.
UGUACUUGACAAUGUAGGCAGUCAAAGUUGACUCAACCGUUCGCAAGCCGACGUCUCUCCGCUCUGCGCAUGUUAUGCACGACGGCUGAAGAACGCAACUCUCAACUCACUGACGAAUCGCAUUGUAAGGAGCCCAUUGGUCAACACAACAUUGCAAGCUCCACCCUCUAGGCCUUCUCACAUUCACCACAGGAAGACGUGCCCCUUCGCUGUUCAGACCCUUUGUGGACCCCUUUGGACCGCUUGCCAGCUAAUUCUGUAUGCCGAUCUUGGCCCGAUAUCUGGCACCAUGCCCGUUGUGAUGCAAACGUUUGUUCCCGGCAAUCUGGCUGCGCAAGAGAUCGCCGAUUGUCGCCUGUUGGCGCAACACCUCGGCUCAAUCGGCGACGACGUCUAUCAGACCGUCAACCAGUCGAAACAAGCUCAGAGAGUAGGAACGUUCGUCGGUGCGCUCUGUGCGUGUGUUGCUAUGGUGACUUGUAUGGUCACUCUUCGUUUCGACGCUUGAACUUGUCUCCAUACGGGGAGUGAACUGUAUUAAUAUUCGUGCUCAUUUUUGAGUGUUUUUAUUGUCCAUUGGACGACCCAAUGGCAGAGCUUUGCUCGACGACGUUGGCAACAACCAGAGAUAUUCUGUAUUUUUGGAAUAAUUGUAUAAAAAUUGUUGCAGCUAGUCAGUAUGUAUGAGGGAUAUUUCAAUGUGGUACUGUAUAUUGUAUUUAAAUAUUUGUCUGUAUAAUACAACAUCAGGUAAUGGGCAAGCCA